RNA transcript from Gossypium raimondii (Peruvian cotton), 1577 nucleotides. It is a transcript of the gene named putative disease resistance RPP13-like protein 1, with no coding region annotated. The record is from RefSeq and is a predicted model, not a curated record. Lineage: Eukaryota; Viridiplantae; Streptophyta; Magnoliopsida; Malvales; Malvaceae. The transcript is spliced from 2 exons.
AUGAAAUUUGCUGACAAAGAUAAAUUUUCAUCGUAUCUCAAGAAAUGGCAAACGCUGCUGUGCAUCAUCAAUGCUUCCCUUGAAAAUGUUGAAGAAAAGCAAACCUCGAGCCGCUCACUGGAGCUGUGGCUUAGUGAUUUAAGAGACGUUGCUUACGACGCUGAGGAUAUCAUCGACGAGCUCACCACAGAGGCUAGGCGUCGCCAAAUAACGGAAGAUCCGGACGCCGCUUCGCCCUCCUGCAAGGUAGGGAGAUAUUUUUCAGCUUGCUUUCUUCGUUUGAAUCCUUCCACUGCUAAGUUUAGCACAAAAAUGGAGUUCAGAUUAAAGAGUCUUACUGCUAGAUUGGAAGAGGCUGUUGCAAUGAAGGAUGCUUUGAGUCUAGUCGAGAAUGAUAGAGGGAUAAGAGAGAGACCAAGAACCAAUUCUCUUGUUGAUGAGUCUUGCGUCUACGGUAGGGAAUGUGAUAAAGAGAUUGUUCUUCAUUUGCUGAUGAACGAUAGUGAUGAUAGUGUUGGUGAUAGUAGUGUGGUUUCCAUUGUGGGUAUGGCAGGCGUGGGUAAAACAACUCUUGCUCAAUUAGUGUACACUGUAUAGUUGAUUCUUAGGAGAUUAGUUAUCUAAAAUACUGAUAUUCUAUAUGUAGAGGAUAUUAUGUGUAUAUAUAGGGAUUCAGCUUCGCAAAAAUAAAUAUGAAGCAUUUUUCACAAUUCUCAAAAAACUUCACCAUGGAUUUUCUAAAACCAUCUCUUGGGAUCGAGGUAUUCUCUAUGAACUCAUUAUGCUUAUUAGUGUGUUAACAUUUAUCUUUCUACUAAGAGAUUACUUGCAACGCAUUUAAUUUCUCUAUAUUGUGGAGCUUUACGGAUAACAUUCUUAAGACUAAAAUAGAUUCCUAUCUGCCAAUAACAACAGGUUGGGAUCAUUCUCAUUAUUCAAGCCAUUGAUAGUGACUCGGGAGAAAGUUAUGCUGCUAAUGCAUUUGCAAUUUGGAUCUGGCGCAGAGAAAAAUCAAUUUGACAGAAGCUAGAUCUGAUCAUGUAUGGCAAACACAAGUUCGAAAAAUUCAAAGAUGGAGAUAUUAGAGAGAAAGAAAAUUUACCUCCCCAUCAAGGUACCAUGGAUGCCACUUGGUUUUAACUGCAAGCUUCAUCUUCUUAAUGGAGUACUUUGUUGAAGUAACUGGUAUUCUUCCAUCUGCAUCCCCACUGCAUUACAUCCAAUAAAAGACAUAACAUAUGUAAACAACACAACGAUGAUACCUAUGAAAAAUGAUACGGCAAUGCUUUUACUACCUGAAAAUCCACACUCUUAGUCCGUUAGCCAUUAACUCUUGUAAAAGGGGAAUGAUUGUUGAAGGGCUAUCUCCCCAUCUUCUGAUGAUGUCGCUGCAGGGUUCCCAAUCAUGGUCAAGUUUUGUUACAUUGGCAUGCAUGGCCUCUUGAACAUCAACCCUGUUUAGAUAAGCAUAUACAUAGUAGUCACUGCAUGGAUCGAAAUUUGCCACCUGCAUCAUAUUAAUGGAAUAUCAUUACUAGACUUAUGGUAUAAAAUUGUUCAAUAAUGUUCAAUGGUAA